Quercus lobata is the source of this 291-nucleotide long non-coding RNA. RefSeq lists it as uncharacterized. Lineage: Eukaryota; Viridiplantae; Streptophyta; Magnoliopsida; Fagales; Fagaceae. The transcript has 2 exons. The record is from RefSeq and is a predicted model, not a curated record.
UAAAUAACAGAGGAAGCAGAGAUCGUGAGGAAGCAGAGAUCAUAAAUAACAGAGGAAGCAGAGCAGAAACAGAGUAAAAAGAAAAUUGGGCGAGUCCUCCGGCAGUUCUCACUUUCAAAUUUACAGUAGUUCUACAGCAGUUUUUUUAGCAGUUCUCACUUUCAAAUUUCUAAAUACAAGUUCGAAUCUUAGCUGUACAGGGAGACAGAGGGAGGCUGAUCAAACAAAAACACUAUAUAUCACUCUCAUAGCAAACAGUUCAUAAAAAUUAAAAAAAAAAAAAAAAAAAAA